This is a long non-coding RNA of Triticum dicoccoides, 452 nucleotides long. RefSeq lists it as uncharacterized. The transcript is spliced from 4 exons. Lineage: Eukaryota; Viridiplantae; Streptophyta; Magnoliopsida; Poales; Poaceae. The record is from RefSeq and is a predicted model, not a curated record.
CUUUCGGCCAUCACAACAGCCAUACCUAGAGGAGAAGUUCCCAAGGAGUACUCUGUGUAAGCAAGGAGCAUCAAGAAGGCGAGUACCUCUAGCAUAGAUAUAAAUUGAUGGGUUCCGACAUACUCACUGAUAAAACGAUGAUAGACCACAGUGAAACACCACGAGAAGAGAAUACAGGAGACAUGGAUAUGGACUUUGGAGAUGCACGGAAAGAAUCCAUUGAGGGUUGAGAUGCGAUGUCGCUGAAAGGGGACGAAGAUUCACAACAUAAAAAUGUUGAAGAGGUUAUAUCUCAUGACAAACCAAAAAAGGAUGCUAAUUUAGUUAUUUUCCCAUAAGACUAUGUUUGUACCGCUAGGGAUAUUACAGUCAUCAAAUCAAUCAAGUCUGCCCCGAAGAAUACCUAGUUCGUAGACAUUGGAGAUGCCUUGUUAUCAACCGACGAUUUUGAA